GAUGAACGCUGGCGGCGUGCCUAAUACAUGCAAGUCGAGCGAACGGACGAGAAGCUUGCUUCUCUGAUGUUAGCGGCGGACGGGUGAGUAACACGUGGAUAACCUACCUAUAAGACUGGGAUAACUUCGGGAAACCGGAGCUAAUACCGGAUAAUAUUUUGAACCGCAUGGUUCAAAAGUGAAAGACGGUCUUGCUGUCACUUAUAGAUGGAUCCGCGCUGCAUUAGCUAGUUGGUAAGGUAACGGCUUACCAAGGCAACGAUGCAUAGCCGACCUGAGAGGGUGAUCGGCCACACUGGAACUGAGACACGGUCCAGACUCCUACGGGAGGCAGCAGUAGGGAAUCUUCCGCAAAGGGCGAAAGCCUGACGGAGCAACGCCGCGUGAGUGAUGAAGGUCUUCGGAUCGUAAAACUCUGUUAUUAGUGAAGAACAUAUGUGUAAGUAACUGUGCACAUCUUGACGGUACCUAAUCAGAAAGCCACGGCUAACUACGUG
This 497-nucleotide ribosomal RNA is filed under the name uncultured bacterium. Its description in RNAcentral is "partial 16S ribosomal RNA". It matches the Rfam family "Bacterial small subunit ribosomal RNA", at positions 28 to 507 of the family's 1533-position model. The record is from RNAcentral.